Brassica rapa (field mustard) is the source of this 4147-nucleotide long non-coding RNA. RefSeq lists it as uncharacterized. Lineage: Eukaryota; Viridiplantae; Streptophyta; Magnoliopsida; Brassicales; Brassicaceae. The record is from RefSeq and is a predicted model, not a curated record.
CAACAGUGUUUCUUUAGAUGGUAAGGAUCUUAUCUUGACAAGUUUAAAUCAGAUUAAUACACAGAAAUCUUAUUUCUAAAACUUUUUAAACAAAUUGCAUCGUUUGAAUAAUCGUUUUGGCGCUCUGAUACCAUUUAUUUUUAUUGAUUCCUUAAUAAUUUGUUUUAAUUAUUGUAACUUUGUUACUAUCUAUAUAUAUAUAAAUAUGUUCGAUUCUCUCAUGUGAUGCUACGUCAUCAAGUUGUGCGUUAUGGGAGUGACACGUGUCCCAUUUUAUAUUUGGGGCCAAAAUAAAGCAAAUAUUUAGAGAAAUGUUUCUCUCCUUUUCAGCCCGCCACGUCAUUAAGUCGUGGAAGGAGAGUGGGACACGUGUCCACCCUCUUUGAGUUUCGUUGCUUUUUGUGUGGCUUCAUUUUGGGCUUUACGGGUUUAAUUGUAGUGGCACACGACAUUCGUUAAGUGCCCAAUUGAAAUUGAUAGCCACGCUCUUCGUCUUCAAGAAAUUGCGACUCCAUUUCUAGGAUUUAUUUUGUUCUUCAGCCUCUGAUUUGUUAAACCGAUUAGUGGAGUUUCAAGAGUGUUAUGUGAGACAAAUAUUCACGGCCAAUUGCAGGUGCGAGCCCGUUCAUGUCGAUUCAUAUGGAUUUCUUCACGCCUGCAAAAGUUAACUUGAACCGUUACAGAGUGCAUUCAAACAUUGCCAUUAACGACAUUCUUAACUCCUUCUACCAUGAUUCCUCAUUCAAUGCAUCUUCUCUUUCUAUCAGUCGGUGAAUCUCAUUUAUAAAAAGGUUAGUCUGGAACCCGUGAACAUCAUCUUUUUAUUCUUCACAACCCUAAAAUCUUCGUUUAAGCAGAAUGCGAACUCUUAUGUCCUCCUUUCUGACUUGAAAGCCUGGCGCUGUAGCACCACCGUCCAAGUCCGUAUACUCAGAUUUUGGGCGGCAAUGAAUGUUAAAAAGAGACGGCGAGCUUAUGGGCUUCGAUAUGCUCCUCCUCGACAGAAAGGUUUUAGAGGAAGUUUUCAUGAAGGAUCGACUCACGGGGCGUUGGCUUUUGUUUUGUCGUCUUCAGAGACUCCAAUAUCACUCAGGGAGUCAUUCUGCACUAACAUGAUUUAUGGCAAAUAUGUACGUUUGACAAUCUACGGAUGAUUCCAUGAUUUUUGCUUUUAAAAAAGACUUCAUUUUUGUUUCAGUGAAGAGAAAGAGCAUACAUAUAUGUUUAAAAAAUAGAUCAACAUGUGUUGCCCAAAGUUGAUUGCUUUAGUGUCUUCUAUAGUGCUUUGUCUCUGUUGGUUCUUGCAGCAGCUUCUUUGUAGUUUUAUCUAUCAUUUAUGUAGUAGUUUCUCAAACGUUUUUAGACUUUAACUGCAAUAGACAACGAAUGUUACACUGUACAACUAACUCUGAAUCUGGUGGUUCUAAUUUGUUACAUUUCUGCCAGUUCAUGAUUUUAGAUUCGUUAUGCAAUAAUGGUACUAUUAUGGCAAGUAUGUAAUGUUAUUGUUAAUCUUACUUGUGUGUGCAAGCAGAAGCGAAUAAGGCAGUUUAAAGAGAUGAUGGCACAUCACUGAACAAAAGUAACAGUGGCCUCCAGGGAUCCCCAGGUCCAGCACACUCGAAAAACUAUUUAUGGGAGGGUUGGCAUCAUCAGUGAUAGAUACUGAUUUCAAGAAGUACUUGGCUCUGUUUGGGAUUAUGAUUGAUCUUGUGGUGAUGUAUGACCACAAAAUUUAGCGUCGGAGAGGCUUUGGCUUUGUUACAUACAACACAGAGGCUGUAGCUUGCAGAGGACGUUCCAUGAUCUUGAUGGUAAUACGGAAGAGUUCAAAGUGGCUGUCCCUAAGGCAACGUCUCCCAACCCAAACCAGACAUUAGCAGCUUAAAUAACUUCGAGAUUACCAGGAUGAGUAUGUUUCUCAACAACUACAUAUAUUUAACAUGAGCCCAAACUCAGCCCAUGGAGCAAAACUUGACGUUAGGUACAGUCCAGCAAUGAGUUUCGGCAGCAGCUUCUCUCCUUGUGGCCACUUUUCGAGAACAAGCUGAAUUUUAUCGAGGGAACCCAUAAUCAGAGUUAUAUUAGUAGAUCCAUUGAGUUUUUGGAAGGCUGUUUAGCCCCAUAAAUAAUGCAAGUCUUAGCAGUACGGUUGCUAAGGGAAUGGUUCUGUUAACAAAAAUUAACUAUAGGUAAAUAAUGGUGGUAUGAGUUACUUACCAAAAGCUGAAUUAAAUGGAGGGUUCAAUGUGAACUAUGGAGGAGGAAGCAUAGGAGAGAAGUCGAGAACAGUUGGUGAAAGUAUUAAUUAUGGUAGAAGCAAUGAAAUGGGUCUAAGAUCUACGAGAGGAGGAGUUGUUCAUAAGAGCUGCUCAGGUUGGGGAAUGUCGAGUGGGGGAGGCAAACGCCGUUUUGGAUACAUGAGCAACACAGAGGUAAGGUCUAAAGACAGCAUUUGCUCUUUAUGAUUGAAACAACGUGUUGGUCUGUGCAGCCUACAGGGAUCCUCCCUCCCAAAAUUCCAUCGAUUACUCAUCCUCAUCGCAUGGAAAGCCUCCAUAUACCUCCUCUGGACUGAACGCAACAACCGUCUCCAUCGGCAGCAGUUUCGGUCAACUGCGUCUCUCGAGAGGCAAGCCGACUUGCUCAUCAGAAACCGCAUCUCAGGCUUCCGAGACGAAAACCCCCGACUCUCCUCCACAAUGCUCCAGCUUUGGUUUGAUCGAUGAUCUUCUCUCGGUGUGACUCUCUGUUUUUCUCCGUCACUAACUACCUCUUCAUUUUCGGUUCAAUUGCAAUUCGAUUAGGGCUAGGCCCAUAGAUCCUUUUUGGUUACUAUCUUUCUGUAUUGGGUUCAAACCCAAAACAAUUGCCUUAGAGGCCAUUUAGUUUAUAAAAGUAAAGCCCUUUCUCAAAAAAAAAAACAACGUGUUGGAAUACUAAUGAACUGUAUUGUUGCAGGAAUUGCUUCUAGCUUCAAGAUUUGACAUUUCUACGCAUACGGACAUGAAAUGAUUUUGGAGUGAGUUUUAGAGAUAAUUUUUUGAAUCCCAUAAUUUUUAAUAUUUGAACUUCUUUGUUUUUUUUUUGUUUAGUCUCCAGCUUGGAUUUUUUAAAAUGACAAGUACAGAAUGGCACUUUGUAUUUUCAAUUUGGGUUGAGAAAAUAGAAAUAAGACAUUUGAGGGAGCAUGUUAAAGUUGCAUAACUAAAAUAGUGUUUGUUCCAUUUAAAUCAUCUCUAAUAUCAAAUCUUAUUUUUAAGAUUUGCACAAAAUGUUAUUCUCCAAUACCAGAACAUAAAAUCUAAAUUUUUGAUUGGUAACCUAUGGAAUAGUAGACUUGCGCUUAACAAAAUUAGUAGUAUACGGAAAAAAGUAUAAAAAUGCAGUUCUUUUGCUGACAAAAAGAUUUAAUUGAGUUUUCUGAAAAAAUGAAAUUUAUAAAUAUUAAACACAAAUAGAUAUGUAUUACAAACAGUGUUGAUGUUAUAUUAUAAUAAAUAGGCACUAAUUCAUGAAUUAUAUACAAAAUAUUAAAUUACUAAAUAUAAUUAAUUUUUAGUCUUUUCAUAUAUGAUCAUUUUAUAAUUUUAAAAGAUAUUAACCUUUUGUUAUUUAUAUGAAGGUUAUGAACUAAAACUGAUUGAAUUUAAGAUUUUUUACAUGUGAGAUAUUAAAUUACAAGGACAAAAAUAUUAAAUUAAAAUAAUAAUAUUUGUAAAAUAUAAAUUAGCUCAGCAUAUGAAUUAAUUUAAAAUACAAUAGAGUUUGGCAUCAAAUUGGCCAAUAUUUUUGUCCUUCACUGAUUUUUUCCUACACGACUUCACACUAUUAAUGAUGAUUAAGAGUUUAAUUAUAUAAAAAUGGUGAACAAAAGGGUCGAGAAGCUUUGAAAACUCUUUCUCAAUAGUCAAAAUAAAUUGAGAUUUUUUUUGAUAGUAACAUUGCAUUAAGCAUAAGUAUCUUCCAUAUAAUGUUCUAAAAAAUCAAAAAAAAAAAGGUUGAAAGAUUAAAAAAGGAAGAUACAAAAAGAAACCGAUAAGAAUAUCCAAACAUUGAAGCAAUUAUUAAAUGUCAAUUAUACCCAAACCACAUGUAAUUUAAAUACCAAAACUAUCGGUGACAUCAAAUGUGAGAAAGAUUUAAC